CAAGGCGAUGUCAGGGGUGCGCAUGUGGCGCGUUUCCCUUGCAAAGAAAAAUAAAAUCAAAUCGAUACACACUGCAGCAAGCAACAGUGCUUCCAUCUCCUCCUCCUCCUCCUUCUUCGUCGGGGCCGAAACACGCCACCCUCCCGGACACCCGAGUCCCCAUUACAGUCCUCCUGCCUCGAUGUUUCGCUGCCCGAAGAGUUUUUGCUUAGUUAGCGCGCACUCCUUCCCAACCUUCCGCUAAAAAGUGCUCAAACCCCACCGAUCCUCCCCGUCCCCUCCCAAGCACCCCAAAUGUGAGGGGAAGGGGCGGUGGGGGAGGGAGGGAGCGAGAGCAAGGGGAGCGCUAAAGGGGGUUGGGUGGGUUCCCCCCCCCACAAAGCACUGCGUCUCCCCCCGACUUUCCUGGGGUGAGAGGAAGAGACGGGAGCCAGCUCCCCCUUUUCCUUCAGCAGCGCUCGCCCAGAAAAGUUUGGGGAGCGGGGCGAUGCGGCCUCCCCCUUUUCGGAGCCGCCGGGACCCGCCUCAGCCCAGGUAAUAAGUUUGCAAGUUCGGGGCUGCGGAGGUAGCCGAGAAGAGAAGCAGCGGCCUCGGCCGUCCCUCGUGGGAGAUCGAAGCUACCCAGCCACCCCUUCAGUUCUCCCACCGGAGAGGGAAAACGGGGCGAGCGGAGCCGGCGGCCGCCGGCGAAGCAGGAGAAGGGGAGACAAGGUGGCUGCGGACGGCGAGUAACGGUCCCCGGGCAAGAGAGAGGCAUCCGGGCAGCAGCAGCCGGCUGAAUCGAAAAGUGCUCGGCCGCCGGAACCUUGUUGCCAGGGGAGACGCCAGCUUUACGGCAGCGCGUUUGAACCGGCAGGAGGGAAAAGUUUUUCUCAGCUCGCCAGUAGGCAGUGAGAGUCUUUGGGCUUAAGAAAAGAAAAUGGAGAACGUUUUCGGAGAUUACAAAAAUCUUGGAAUAAAAAAAAAAGCUGGCACACUUCUGUCUAGGACAUCUAUUAUUAGAGAUUUCCCAAACACAAUGUAUACCUUUCCUUGGCUUUAUAGACCUACAGAGAUUGUACAGUACAUGCGAGGACUGAUUACAAAGUUACUUUUUCAUCACCAUCAUAAGUGUGAAGAAUCACUAAAGGAAAACUACAGGAACCUGCUCAGGCUUCCCAGAUGACAACUGUCAACACAUUCUCUGGUCCUGAAAUUUUAGAUGAUGAACAGAAUCCAGGUAUGCAUCUAUGGAUGAGUCUCAGUAACACGUGCCAAGUUGACUGUCUCAUCCAUAAUAAGAUCAUGGAUCUUUGUCUUGCUACAAAGCAACAUGUCAUUUGACAACACCAGCUGGAGAUAAAGGCCACUGAGGAUCUGCUGACUUUGCAGCAGGGAUGAGACUGGGAACGAGAAAGUAGAAUUGGUAUCAAAUACUUCAUGCUGUGUGUGGUCUGCUCCCAGAUUCCUACCACUUUUCCCUAUUCUAAAAAUACAAGUGCCAAAAAUAUCUUGAAGAACAUUUUAAAUUGUAUAUAUACAAUGUGAUCCAUACAUACCUACUAAGUUAUCCCCAUUUAGUUCAGUGAAAAGUAAUCUGUGGGAGUCCAUGGAGGAUUGCAACUAGGGAAAUAGCAGAGCAAGUAUAAAGAUCCAGCCCCCCCCCCCCUUGCAGGGUUUUCUUCUUCUUUCCCUUCUAUUUUAAUUGAAUGAGAGAGGAAAUGAUCUGGUUCAUGAUGUUAAACCACAGUUGAUGAUGACCAGUCUAAACCAAACAAAUCCCGUACAGCGUAGUACCGGGUGUGAACUUGGUAAUAAACAAUUUGAGUUUCAGGCUGACUUAAAUCAGAAAGACCAUCCGGAAGGUUAUAGGAGAAAUAGAAUGGUUUUGAAUCUAGGAUUGUUCCAGCCAUCCUCUUUACCCUCACUGUACCCUGUUUCAGCAUUUACUUAUGGCAAGAACACUAUCAUGUUGCUUCUGUGUCUGUAGAAUUUAUGUUGGAAUCCUGGAGCCGUGGGAAUGCAGAUUGUUCAGCUCUGAAAUAAGGGUUUGCCUAUAAAAAAAUCAUGCCAGAAGAAAAUAAUGAGUCUUUAAUGUAUCAUAGUUUAGGAAUGAAAAUAAUGUUUCCCUUCCAGCCUUCUUGGUUUUAUUUUUCCACAGUGCAAAAGAGCAUCUGAUGUCCCAUACCUCAGAGUAAGCCUUCUCAUGGAUUAAAACGGUAUAUUAUAAUAAAUACCUCAAUACUUCUGACACAAAUUAUUUUCCAAAUAGGUUUCCUGAUGCAUAACAAAUGUUUUUGUUUUUUUGUUUGCUAUGAUUGCUAUUUCCUUAUUAUUAAACAUUAAUUUGUUGAGAAUGGCUGUUUUCUUCCAUAUGGCGUAUUUUAUUGCCUUCGGUAGUAUAUGUGCUGUUUUAAGUUUGCUCUUAUACACUUUAUGCUUUUUCUGAAUAUUUUGUUCUUGUUCAUUUUGUGUUCAUUUGGAGAUUUUUCUCUUAGUAACAGUCUCUAUACAGCUGGCUCACUCCGUUCUGUAACCCUUUAACAAGAUUUCUCUAAUUAUUUUAGCAAACAGGAUUCUUUUUCAUGUUUAUAGUUUUAUUGUAACCACAUGUCACUGAAGAUGUCAUUCAUCUGUUCUAGUCAAUUUGUCUCUUCUGUUUUACAUUGCAAAAGUAUUUUGGAUUUUCAGAGCAUCAAAUGUACUUUUAGGAAGUACUUCUUAGAAGAUAGCAAUCCACUUUCAUACAGAAAUGGAAUGGAAUGGAAUGGAACAGAACAGAACAGAAUAGAGCAGAACAGAACUUUCAAUAUUUUUUUUUUUGAGCCAUCAGUUUUGAACUGUAUAGCAGUGUAGCUCUAAAGACUGUGAUUAAGUGCAAACCCUUGCUUAUAUAGAUUCCUCUGUACCAUCUCAUUCCCAUUCCCACUGUCAUCCUAUAUAAACAUGGGUGGUAUAUCUUUAACCAAUACAGUAAAAUAAUCAUUUUUUUCAAGUAGCAAGAACAAUGAAAAGAAUGGCGAAAUGUGUACAUCAUGCAUCCUUUGGCUUAUUUGACUUUGGGUUACUGUAUUGUGGUACUGUACUGUAUUGUGGUACCCUAGCCACUAAGGUUUACAAAUCAUGAGUUUUGAUCGUAUGGUUUAUUCAGUAGAUCAUGGUUAACUGUGGUAUGGCAUAUUGUGAGAGCUCAGUUAAAUUAAAAACUCUUCUCAUUACUAUUAUUCAUUCCUUGUUUAUGACUAUUAAAUUGAAUUGCCUAGGAAAAGUUCCAAGGAUAGAAAUUACUAGAUGCCCAAUUCAGGAAAUUGGCUUGAAAAUGCUCACUUCUGAAGUAAUAUUGCAUGCUUUUUAAAGAGUCCAUGUAUAUUAUUACUUCUUUGUAUUUUUUUAAAUAUAAAUGUUUUAUCUCCAAGGUCUGAAUGCAACAAUAAAAUUGAGAAACUUAUCUGAAUCAGUGGGUGAAAUGUUAGUAAUAUACAGGUAAUCCUUGAUUUACAAUCAUUCGUUUAGCGACUGUUCAAAAUAACAAUGGCCUAAAUUCUUUCACUUUCAACUGUUUUAAAUGCCAGUUGCCAGGAGUUGAAAUUUUGAUCAUAUGACACCUCCCCCCACAGUCACAUGAUCAAAAUUCAGGCACUUAGCCAAUGGCAUAUAUUUACAAAGAUUGCAGCAUCCCAGGGUCAUAUAAUCUUGAUUUCUGCUUCUGAGAGGAAAGUCAAUGGGGAAGCUAUAUUUGCUUAAUCAUGUGAUUCACUUAAUAACCAUGGCAAAAGUCAUAUGAUCAGAUACCAUUAAUUUAACAACUACCUUACUUAGCAAUUGAAAUUCUGAUCCCAAUUGUCAUCAGUCAAGGACUACCUAUAGAACAGCUUUUAAUUGAUAACCUUUUUUUUUCUUUUUACUUUGUCAUCCUGUGACAACAGGGUAUUCAAUUACUGCUGGGGAAAUCUAACAGUAAUUUACUACUAUUUCAUUCAGCAUUUUCAAACGAAACAAUUCAAUAUUUCUGAAAUGAGGAACAACUGUUUCACUUUCUUAGAAAGAAACUGUUCAUUUUGUUUUAUUUAUCAAACAGAUUUCUAAUCUGUCUUUUUGCCACAACUGGGAUCAAAAGAAGCAUGUUCCUUUGGUCAAGACUAUGAGAAGAAUCACUUGUUUUUUCUCAGCUAACAAAGCAAUCAGAUCAGAACAUCAGCAGCUAAUUCACCUCUGAAGUGACUAGAUGACUAGAAUAAAAAACGAAUUGCUACUUUGUAAGGUAGGCUACUGUAUGUAAUCCUAUAUAUGUUUACAUAUUAAAAGUUCAGUUGGGUUUACUUCCAUGUAAAUAUGCACAGGAUGGGAACUGACUUUUCAUCUUCUCAUUAGGUUCAAGUUAAGGAUUUUUGAAAUAAAUAUUGCUAAAGCCUUCAAGCAUUUGGUUCCAUCUUGCACCAGAUUCCGUUGCAGUGGCAAAACUAUUGACUGAAGUGAAUUACUGAAAGCUUGUUCUGUGUUCAAACACUGUAAAUUAAUUAUAUAUUGUUCUUUUAAAGGCAGCCUAGCUUACAGGCUUCCUCACCCUCUUUAAACUUGGAGAAGCUUUGUGUGGGCAUAUUUUAGGAAUCUUGUCUAAGGGCCAUGUUCUAUUUAUCAGGUAUAGGCUGUCUGAAUCCCUCUGAAUGCUUUAGAUCCGUGAUGGCGAACCUAUGGCACACCUAUGCCACAUUUGGAACCAUAUCUGUAGGCACAUGAGCCAUUGUCCUAGCUCAGCUCCAGCACACAUGUGCACGCCAGCCAGCUGAUUUUCAGCUGGCCCAGACCAUGCCAGCCCUCCCCUCCCAGGAAUCUCCACGCGGCCUGUUUUGGAUGCCAGGUAAGCACCGGGCUCUCGCGGAAGGAGUGAGUUUUUGGCCUCUAGAGGGCCUUGGGGGAGGUGGGGAAAGGCCAUUUUCGCCCUCCUCAUGCUCCAGGAAAGCUUCUGGAGCCUGGGGAGGGUGAAGACAGGCCUACCGGAAGUCUGGAAAUGGGCCGUUUCCGGCCUCUGGAGGUUUCAGGGAGGCCUGCGAGGCCCAAAAUGGGUCAUGUGCAUAUGUGCAAGGGAGCGUGGGGAGGGUCACGCAUGCAUGCGUGGGGGGGGGCCUGGAGGAGGCAUUGAGUUAUUGGUGUGGGCACACACACGCACAACCCCCCCCCCGCUCUCCACGCUUUUGGCAUGUGAUGGCAAAAAGGUUAGCCAUCACUGCUUUAGAUGAUAAUCUCUAUAAGAUCUAAUUAAUGUGGGCAGGGAUGCACACGUCUGCUGUGGGGCUACCAAAUUUGAGCUUCAAUUUUCUCCAUCUUUUUCCUGCCAUCUAGGAGAGGUUUUUAAUUUAAUUUUUAUAUAUGAAUAUCUGUAGGAAGGGUUAUAUUACAUUAUGGUGAUAUUUCAUUUGAUUGAGAUCUGAAAUGGGUUAAGACUAUUUAAAUGAUGAGCAAGCUUACUUGGGAUACUACACUGAGUUUCAGUUUAGUAAGAUAGAUUAUUCAUCUAGCAUGAAUAUAAAGAAAAAACCCAACACUCAGACGAAUUGCUGUUUCUCAAAAAAGAAUAAUCUGGUUGUUUGUUUUUCUUCCAACAGUUGGAGAAUUAGAAAAUAUUGAGCAAAAUAUCUUUUCUUUUCUCCCCAAUUUUCACAAAGUCUGAAAAUUCACACAUAGACUAAAUUUUGUUCUAAUUUUUCAAAUUAAUGUGUUGCUUCUCAAUAGUAUGUGUACAUGUCUCUCUCUGUUAUAAUGAAUCCUCCAUGGUAGACAUACCAUGAAGAAGCCGUGAAAAUAUUUACAGAUCCCUCACAUCCUGGACAUAAAAUGUUUCAACUCCUACCAUCAAAAUGACGCUACAGAGCAUUGCACACCAGAACAACUAGACACAAGAACAGUUUUUUCCCGAAGGCCAUCACUCUGCUAAACAAAUAAUUCCCUCAACACUGUCAAACUAUUUACUAAAUCUGCACUACUAUUAAUCUUCUCAUCGUUUUCAUCACCAAUCUCUUUCCACUUAUGACUGUAUGACUGUAACUUUUUGUUGCUAUCAUUAAGGUUUAAAUUGCAACCUCUGACCAUCAUUUGUGUUGUAAAUAUUGUACCUUUGAUGUAUUUUUUUCUUUUUUCUUUUUAUUUUAUGUACAUUGACAAAUGUACCAAAACAAAUUCCUUGUGUGUCCAAUCACACUUG
Long non-coding RNA from Ahaetulla prasina, 6178 nucleotides. RefSeq lists it as uncharacterized. The transcript is spliced from 5 exons. The record is from RefSeq and is a predicted model, not a curated record. NCBI's taxonomy places the organism in Eukaryota, Metazoa, Chordata, Lepidosauria, Squamata, Colubridae.